Molecule: long non-coding RNA, 933 nt
Organism: Corticium candelabrum
Lineage: Eukaryota; Metazoa; Porifera; Homoscleromorpha; Homosclerophorida; Plakinidae
Exons: 3
Source: RefSeq, a predicted model, not a curated record
GAGUCAGGUUUGUUUGUUUGUUUUUAUUCUUACUCACAGCGCAUUCUACAGACCUCUACCGCCAUCAAAGAUGCCAAUUGUAGUUUCUGCCUUUCGCUUUUUGACUAUUGGCCGAUGCUGUGUGACCUCUGGCAUGACCAUCUCUACUGUAGUGAUGCUAAUGGUGGCCUCUAGAUGUGCUUCUUGUAUAGCUGCUGGCACUGGGGACAGUCAUACAAGGGAGACUAAUGAAAAUGUUGAAUGGCACACUUCUUGCACAUUAAAUGGUUGCAUUGGAGUUCAACUGGGAUGUUGACAACUUUUCACACAGGGUGCACUUGAACGAGUCAAACAGGGAUUCUGGUGCUACUGUUUCUAUUUGUUGGAUUAGGUCAGUCAAUUUGAUUGCUGACUGAUCUGUGAGAACAAGCUGAUUCUUUUUCAAUUUUUGGGUGGUCUUCCUUAUUUCUUCUGUUGCUGACAACUGCAGCAGGUGUUGCAGUUUUCUGAGUGUACCGUCCACUCUCUGCAGAAAGGUACAAGAAUAGAGGCUCCUUGCCUCUUUGUAAAUCAAUGCAUCACUAGAUGGCAGCGGACACAGAAAUUGACAUUUGUACUGACGUCCUCUCAAUUGAACCUGGGGGCACAUAACCUGCGAAGCUCUCGUACAGAAAGGAUGUGAUGUGCCAUAUCCAUAGACUAGACUGACAACACUUGUAUACUGGUUAACUGUUUCUGUAUACAUCUUAUGUAGUGUAUGGAGUAAGGAAAGGGCAUGAGAGUGUUGAGGUAAAGAACUGCUACACGUGUACCAUUCAAAUUCAAGGAACCAGUGUUGGUACACCAUUAGCAAGUUUUUGUGGCAAAGUUUAUUUUACCAUAGAUAUGAUUUUACUUACAUCUCAAGUUGCUAAGAAUAAUAUCUCUAGGCACGUGACCUAGGCCAGCUUGUCA